CCUACGGGAGGCAGCAGUGAGGAAUAUUGGACAAUGGGCGCAAGCCUGAUCCAGCCAUGCCGCGUGCAGGAAGAAGCAUCUAUGGUGUGUAAACUGCUUUUGUACAGGAAGAAACACUCCCUCGUGAGGGAGCUUGACGGUACUGUAAGAAUAAGGACCGGCUAACUCCGUGCCAGCAGCCGCGGUAAUACGGAGGGUCCGAGCGUUAUCCGGAAUCAUUGGGUUUAAAGGGUCCGUAGGCGGUUUAAUAAGUCAGUGGUGAAAUCUGGUCGCUCAACGAUCAAACGGCCAUUGAUACUGUUAGACUUGAAUUAUAAGGAAGUAACUAGAAUAUGUAGUGUAGCGGUGAAAUGCUUAGAUAUUACAUGGAAUACCAAUUGCGAAGGCAGGUUACUACUUAUGGAUUGACGCUGAUGGACGAAAGCGUGGGGAGCGAACAGGAUUAGAUACCCUGGUAGUCCACGCCGUAAACGAUGGAUACUAGCUGUUCGGAGNAUCUGNGUGNGUAGACGAAGUAGAUAGUAUACCACCUACGGUAGGUACGUUCGCGAGAAGAGAACGACGAAAGAAGUAGUAGACGUGAGAGAGACGACGACGGACGACGACGGAGGGAGGAG
Molecule: ribosomal RNA, 617 nt
Filed under: uncultured bacterium
Lineage: Bacteria
Description: bacterial SSU rRNA
Rfam family: Bacterial small subunit ribosomal RNA (bases 1-531)
Source: RNAcentral